GUCUACGGCCAUACCACCCUGAACGUGCCCGAUCUCGUCUGAUCUCGGAAGCUAAGCAGGGUCGGGCCUGGUUAGUACUUGGAUGAGAAAGCACCAGGGUGCCUUGGUGGCUCAGAUG
RNAcentral lists this ribosomal RNA (118 nucleotides) under Canis lupus familiaris (dog). The record is from RNAcentral. Lineage: Eukaryota; Metazoa; Chordata; Mammalia; Carnivora; Canidae. RNAcentral also lists the same sequence under 1 other name.